RNAcentral lists this transfer RNA (74 nucleotides) under Candidatus Bathyarchaeota archaeon. RNAcentral's name for it is "tRNA-Cys". It matches the Rfam family "tRNA". Rfam says of the family: Transfer RNA (tRNA) molecules are approximately 80 nucleotides in length. Their secondary structure includes four short double-helical elements and three loops (D, anti-codon, and T loops). Further hydrogen bonds mediate the characteristic L-shaped molecular structure. tRNAs have two regions of fundamental functional importance: the anti-codon, which is responsible for specific mRNA codon recognition, and the 3' end, to which the tRNAs corresponding amino acid is attached (by aminoacyl-tRNA synthetases). tRNAs cope with the degeneracy of the genetic code in two manners: having more than one tRNA (with a specific anti-codon) for a particular amino acid; and 'wobble' base-pairing, i.e. permitting non-standard base-pairing at the 3rd anti-codon position. RNAcentral also lists the same sequence under 1 other name. The record is from RNAcentral. Lineage: Archaea; Thermoproteati; Candidatus Bathyarchaeota.
GCCGGGGUGGCCGAGGGGUUAGGCGGCGGGCUGCAGACCCGCCGAGAUGGGUUCGAAUCCCAUCCCCGGCUCCA